AGUCGUAACAAGGUUUCCGUAGGUGAACCUGCGGAAGGAUCAUUAUGAAUUAAUAAUAUUUGUGAAUUUACCACAGCAAACAAAAAUCAUACAAUCAAUACWUAAAUAAUUAAAACUUUUAACAAUGGAUCUCUUGGUUCUCGUAUCGAUGAAGAACGCAGCGAAACGCGAUAUUUCUUGUGAAUUGCAGAAGUGAAUCAUCAGUUUUUGAACGCACAUUGCACUUUGGGGUAUCCCCCAAAGUAUACUUGUUUGAGCGUUGUUUCUCUCUUGGAAUUGCUUUGCUCUUCUAAAAUUUCGAAUCAAAUUCGUUUGAAAAACAACACUAUUCAACCUCAGAUCAAGUAGGAUUACCCGCUGAACUUAAGCAUAUCAAUAA
RNAcentral lists this unclassified non-coding RNA (379 nucleotides) under Geotrichum candidum. RNAcentral describes it as "sequence contains 18S rRNA gene, ITS1, 5.8S rRNA gene, ITS2, 28S rRNA gene". The record is from RNAcentral. Lineage: Eukaryota; Fungi; Ascomycota; Dipodascomycetes; Dipodascales; Dipodascaceae.